AGAGUUUGAUUUUGGCUCAGAACGAACGCUGGCGGCGCGUUUUAAGCAUGCAAGUCGAACGGCACGAGGCGCAAGCCUCAGAGAGUGGCGGACGGGUGAGUAACACGUGGAUAAUCUGCCCCUAGGUUUGGGAUAGCCUGUGGAAACACGGGGUAAUACCGGAUGUGGUUAUCUACACACAAGUGUAGGUAAAGAAAGGCGCUUUUUGCGUCGCCUAGGGAUGAGUCCGCGGUCCAUUAGCUAGUUGGUGGGGUAAUAGCCUACCAAGGCGACGAUGGAUAGCCGGCCUGAGAGGGUGGACGGCCACAUUGGGACUGAGACACGGCCCAGACUCCUACGGGAGGCAGCAGCUAAGAAUCUUCCGCAAUGGACGAAAGUCUGACGGAGCGACGCCGCGUGAACGAAGAAGGCCGUGAGGUUGUAAAGUUCUUUUCCGGGGGAGGAAUGAUCGUGGAAUUAACUAUCCGCGAGAUGACGUGAACCUGGGAAUAAGCCCCGGCUAACUACGUGCCAGCAGCCGCGGUAACACGUAGGGGGCGAGCGUUGUUCGGAAUUAUUGGGCGUAAAGGGUGCGUAGGCUGUGCAUCAAGUCUGGUGUGAAAUACCCCGGCUCAACUGGGGGGGCGCGCUGGAAACUGUUGUACUUGAGUACAGGAGGGGAAGUUGGAAUUCCAGGUGUAGGGGUGAAAUCUGUAGAGAUCUGGAAGAACACCGGUGGCGAAGGCGGACUUCUGGCCAUGUACUGACGCUGAGGCACGAAGGCGUGGGGAGCAAACAGGUUUAGAUACCCUGGUAGUCCACGCAGUA
This 807-nucleotide ribosomal RNA is filed under the name uncultured bacterium. RNAcentral describes it as "bacterial SSU rRNA". It matches the Rfam family "Bacterial small subunit ribosomal RNA", at positions 8 to 804 of the family's 1533-position model. The record is from RNAcentral.